Molecule: long non-coding RNA, 254 nt
Filed under: Elaeis guineensis (African oil palm)
Lineage: Eukaryota; Viridiplantae; Streptophyta; Magnoliopsida; Arecales; Arecaceae
Description: long non-coding RNA (EGUI_LNC060315)
Source: RNAcentral
AGUAGAUCAUCCGAAUCGUGCUCAACUCAAACAGUCCUAUGACUCCUCACUAGGACUAUCCUAGCUAAGAUUUUGCUAAAUUGAAACACGACUGUAUACAGCUCCUGAACUGGAGUGGUCAAUCCCAUCUUGACACACCCACCGACAAGUCAAGUACUUAACUACACCCAGCAGCCUUCUGUCACUGAAUUAGAAAUUCAGGUAGUCCAGUGCCUAAGUACAGUGAGUUACUUGCAAGUCACCGUGACGAUCUC